Molecule: ribosomal RNA, 462 nt
Filed under: uncultured bacterium
Lineage: Bacteria
Description: partial 16S ribosomal RNA
Rfam family: Bacterial small subunit ribosomal RNA
Source: RNAcentral
CUACGGGCGGCUCCAGUGAGGAAUUUUGCGCAAUGGGGGAAACCCUGACGCAGCAACGCCGCGUGAGCGAAGAAGGCCUUCGGGUCGUAAAGCUCUGUCAAGUGGGAAAAAAAUUCUUUGAUGAACAGUCAAAGGACUUGAUGGUACCACUGGAGGAAGCACCGGCUAACUCCGUGCCAGCAGCCGCGGUAAUACGGAGGGUGCAAGCGUUGUUCGGAAUUACUGGGCGUAAAGGCGUGUAGGCGGUUGACAAGUCAGAUGUGAAAGCCCCGGGCUCAACCCGGGAAGUGCAUUUGAAACUGGUUCACUAGAGUAUGGGAGAGGAGAUUGGAAUUCCUGGUGUAGAGGUGAAAUUCGUAGAUAUCAGGAGGAACACCCGUGGCGAAGGCGAUUCUCUGGACCAAUACUGACGCUGAGACGCGAAAGCGUGGGGAGCAAACAGGAUUAGAUACCCUAGUAGUC